Long non-coding RNA from Tupaia belangeri chinensis (Chinese tree shrew), 898 nucleotides. RefSeq lists it as uncharacterized. Lineage: Eukaryota; Metazoa; Chordata; Mammalia; Scandentia; Tupaiidae. The transcript is spliced from 5 exons. The record is from RefSeq and is a predicted model, not a curated record.
ACUGGGAUGGAGGGGGGAGAGGCGGGAAGGGAGGGGCGGGGGACUGGCGAGAGGAUUUACCCGCACAGGAAAUUAACCUGCUGGAAAAUCCCGGGGGAGAGGCGGGAGCUGUAGGGGUGGCCGAGUGACCGUCGCCAAACGCAGCCCUACCGGGCAGCUGAUUUCUGAAACUGGACAAUAAGACCUGUCGCGCAGACUUGGCCAGAGGCGCUCGACGACUAAGUUCAAUUACGGAGUCCACAGGCGGUUUCUGUAGGGCGUGCCCAGGGCGUGCACCCCUCACCCCCACGCCUGCCUGGUGCCAGGGAGAUGCCAAGGCUGAAAGGACAGCGAAAAACUGGGUUCCCAACUUGCUGUUGCUGUCCUCAGCUUCAAGGGUUCAGCCUUGGACUCCAGUCUCAUCCUUUUAAAGAGACCCACCUCUUGGCAGAUGCUGAAGUCUGACUGUUUGAAUGUGAUUCCUGAACGAUGAUUAAAACAGAUUUGGAGCUUCGACAAAAGAGAUGCCAAAAUACCAGGGCACCCGGAGACCUUACCACCGUCAUUUCCACAAACCCAGUUUCCAUCCAGAGAACCUGAGGGAGAGCAAGGCAGGACGGAGAGCAGUAAGGUAAACACCACCGUCCCUGCCCCACAGCUGUCCCUACUCGACUCCCAGCCUCCCACGCCGAGACACAGCCCUUCAGAUUGUUUUCAGAGCAGAGUGCUGAGUCUUCAUAAUCAAGGGCUCUCUGAGCACACCAGUGAAAGGAGCUUUCUGUAUCACCGCUCUGAAUCGUAAAAAACGUCAGCCUCCCCAGUGCUUGUCUGUCCAUUAAAACUCAGCAUUUAUCUCAACAACCACAACCCACCCCAGCUCUGCUUCCAGCUCAUCAAAGUCAUCCGCGACCCUUUUCAC